RNAcentral lists this transfer RNA (69 nucleotides) under Ictidomys tridecemlineatus (thirteen-lined ground squirrel). RNAcentral's name for it is "Spermophilus tridecemlineatus (thirteen-lined ground squirrel) tRNA". It matches the Rfam family "tRNA". From Rfam's summary of the family: Transfer RNA (tRNA) molecules are approximately 80 nucleotides in length. Lineage: Eukaryota; Metazoa; Chordata; Mammalia; Rodentia; Sciuridae. The record is from Rfam by way of RNAcentral.
GGUUGUAUAGCUCAGUGAUAGGGCACAUGCCUACCAUGCAUGAGACCCUGGGUUUGAUCUCCAGCACCA